CCUACGGGCUGCACCAGUGGGGAAUCUUGGACAAUGGGCGAAAGCCCGAUCCAGCAAUAUCGCGUGAGUGAAGAAGGUCUUCGGAUUGUAAAGCACUUUCGACGGGGACGAUGAUGACGGUACCCGUAGAAGAAGCCCCGGCUAACUUCGUGCCAGCAGCCGCGGUAAUACGAAGGGGGCUAGCGUUGCUCGGAAUGACUGGGCGUAAAGGGCGCGUAGGCGGUUUAUGCAGUCAGAUGUGAAAUCCCCGGGCUUAACCUGGGAACUGCAUUUGAGACGCAUAGACUAGAGGUCGAGAGAGGGUUGUGGAAUUCCCAGUGUAGAGGUGAAAUUCGUAGAUAUUGGGAAGAACACCGGUGGCGAAGGCGGCAACCUGGCUCGAUACUGACGCUGAGGCGCGAAAGCGUGGGGAGCAAACGGGAUUAGAUACCCCUGUAGUC
RNAcentral lists this ribosomal RNA (440 nucleotides) under uncultured bacterium. Its description in RNAcentral is "bacterial SSU rRNA". It matches the Rfam family "Bacterial small subunit ribosomal RNA", at positions 338 to 795 of the family's 1533-position model. The record is from RNAcentral.